This 403-nucleotide ribosomal RNA is filed under the name Verrucomicrobiota bacterium. RNAcentral's name for it is "Verrucomicrobia bacterium partial 16S ribosomal RNA". It matches the Rfam family "Bacterial small subunit ribosomal RNA", at positions 355 to 776 of the family's 1533-position model. The record is from RNAcentral. Lineage: Bacteria; Pseudomonadati; Verrucomicrobiota.
UGGGGAAUAUUGCACAAUGGGCGCAAGCCUGAUGCAGCAACGCCGCGUGAACGAUGAAGGUCUUCGGAUCGUAAAGUUCUGUUGCAGGGGAAGAUAAUGACGGUACCCUGUGAGGAAGCCCCGGCUAACUACUUGCCAGCAGCCGCGGUAAUACGUAGGGGGCUAGCGUUAUCCGGAUUUACUGGGCGUAAAGGGUGCGUAGGUGGUCUUUCAAGUCGGUGGUUAAAGGCUACGGCUCAACCGUAGUUAGCCUCCGAAACUGGAAGACUUGAGUGCAGGUGAGGAAAGUGGAGUUCCCAGUGUAGCGGUGAAAUGCGUAGAUAUUGGGAGGAACACCAGUAGCGAAGGCGGCUUUCUGGACUGCAACUGACACUGAGGGAGGAAAGCGUGGGUAGCAAACAGG